GGUUGGAGGAAGAAGAAAGAAAGAAUGAGAUGGGGAGAGAGCAGGGAAGCACCGGGCUGAGCUUAAUUACGAUGAUGUGGGCUGUUUUGAAAUAUUGAGAGCUAGUUAUUAGCGAUUUGCUAUGAGUUGAUAUGUUUUUGGGGGAAAUUUUUUUUUGAAGAACUGCCAAUGCAUAGUUUUGGGGAAGAAUUUUUUAAGAAACUCUUGGAGUUGCUCUUCGACAACAAAAGUUAAUGGUGGCAAAUAUUUAGGAAAGGAUGAAGUAGGAUUUACAGAUCAUGCUGUUUGGACACCAUGUUUGGUUGCAAUAACAUCUAGCCUAAUAAACCUCACAUGCGCAUGCAUCCAGCAGAAUUCCA
RNAcentral lists this long non-coding RNA (359 nucleotides) under Setaria viridis. RNAcentral's name for it is "long non-coding RNA (SVIR_LNC006062)". Lineage: Eukaryota; Viridiplantae; Streptophyta; Magnoliopsida; Poales; Poaceae. The record is from RNAcentral.